CGUAGUACGUAGUGCGUAGUACGUAGUACGUAGUGCGUAGUACGUAGUGCGUAGUACGUAGUACGUAGUGCGUAGUACGUAGUAGUACGUAGUGCGUAGUACGUAUUACGUAGUGCGUAGUGCGUAGUACGUAGUGCGUAGUACGUAGUACGUAGUGCGUAGUACGUAGUGCGUAGUGCGUAGUACGUAGUAGUGCGUAGUACGUAGUGCGUAGUACGUAGUGCGUAGUGCGUAGUACGUAGUGCGUAGUACGUAGUGCGUAGUAUAAUAAAUACAACCACUCAGUCCCAAAGUGUUCCCUUCUGAAUGUUUAUUGGCCUAUUUCAAACUCCAUUGUAAAAUAUACUUGAUAAAGAAUCAGUACGUUCCAAAACCAAUUUCUCACUGCAAUAACUAGCCGUUACAGCACAUCCUUCAGGAAAUGAUCAAACAUCAACUCCGUGUUUAGGGAGUCAUUGAGGUGCGUACUGACUUCCCUGAACACCCAGUAGGUGUGUUCACAGAGCAUCUCAGAGUUGAGGUGGUUAUCUAGGAUCAGGCCCCCCUCAUCCCUCUUCUUGUUCAUUAUGAUGUUAACACUGAUCCUGGAUGUGGUCUCUAUUUCUGAAUACUGGCCCAGUAGCAGUAUCAGGAAACUCCGGUCUGUCAUUGGUUACCCACCAGGAUACAGGUCAACAUAUCUGACCCCAACCCACCAGGAUACAGGUCAACAUAUCUUACCCCAACCGACCAGGAUACAGGUCAACAUAUCUGACCCCAACCCUAACCCACCAGGAUACAGGUCAACAUAUCUGACCCCAACCCUAACCCACCAGGAUACAGGUCAACAUAUCUGACCCCAACUCUAACCCACCAGAAUACAGGUCAACAUAUCUGACCCUAAUCCACCAGGAUACAGGUCAACAUAUCUGACCCUAACCCACCAGGAUACAGGUCAACAUAUCUGACCCCAACCCACCAGGAUACAGGUCAACAUAUCUGACCCUAACCCUAACCCACCAGGAUACAGGUCAACAUAUCUGACCCCAACCCACCAGGAUACAGGUCAACAUAUCUGACCCCAACCCACCAGGAUACAGGUCAACAUAUCUGACCCCAACCCUAACCCACUAGGAUACAGGUCAACAUAUCUGACCCUAACCCACCAGGAUACAGGUCAACAUAUCUGACCCUAACCCACCAGGAUACAGGUCAACAUAUCUGACCCUAACCCACCAGGAUACAGGUCAACAUAUCUGACCCUAACCCACCAGGAUACAGGUCAACAUAUCUGACCCCAACCCACCAGGAUACAGGUCAACAUAUCUGACCCUAAUCCACCAGGAUACAGGUCAACAUAUCUGACCCCAACCCCAACCCACCAGGAUACAGGUCAACAUAUCUGACUCUAACCCACCAGGAUACAGGUCAACAUAUCUGACCCCAACCCACCAGGAUACAGGUCAACAUAUCUGACCCUAAUCCACCAGGAUACAGGUCAACAUAUCUGACCCCAAUCCUAACCCACCAGGAUACAGGUCAACAUAUCUGACCCCAACUCUAACCCACCAGGAUACAGGUCAACAUAUCUGACCCCAACCCUAACCCACCAGGAUACAGGUCAACAUAUCUGACCCUAACCCACCAGGAUACAGGUCAACAUAUCUGUCCCCAACCCACCAGGAUACAGGUCAACAUAUCUGUCCCCAACCCACCAGGAUACAGGUCAACAUAUCUGACCCUAACCCUAACCCACCAGGAUACAGGUCAACAUAUCUGACCCCAACUCUAACCCACCAGGAUACAGGUCAACAUAUCUGACCCCAACUCUAACCCACCAGGAUACAGGUCAACAUAUCUGACCCUAACCCACCAGGAUACAGGUCAACAUAUCUGACCCCAACCCACCAGGAUACAGGUCAACAUAUCUGACCCUAACCCUAACCCACCAGGAUACAGGUCAACAUAUCUGACCCUAACCCACCAGGAUACAGGUCAACAUAUCUGACCCCAACCCACCAGGAUACAGGUCAACAUAUCUGACCCUAACCCACCAGGAUACAGGUCAACAUAUCUGACCCUAACCCUAACCCACCAGGAUACAGGUCAACAUAUCUGACCCUAACCCACCAGGAUACAGGUCAACAUAUCUGACCCCAACCCACCAGGAUACAGGUCAACAUAUCUGACCCCAAUCCACCAGGAUACAGGUCAACAUAUCUGACCCCAACCCACCAGGAUACAGAUCAACAUAUCUGACCCCAACCCACCAGGAUACAGGUCAACAUAUCUGACCCUAACCCACCAGGAUACAGGUCAACAUAUCUGACCCCAACCCACCAGGAUACAGGUCAACAUAUCUGACCCUAACCCACCAGGAUACAGGUCAACAUAUCUGACCCCAACUCUAACCCACCAGGAUACAGGUCAACAUAUCUGACCCCAACCCACCAGGAUACAGGUCAACAUAUCUGACCCUAACCCUAACCCACCAGGAUACAGGUCAACAUAUCUGACCCUAACCCACCAGGAUACAGGUCAACAUAUCUGACCCCAACCCACCAGGAUACAGGUCAACAUAUCUGACCCUAACCCACCAGGAUACAGGUCAACAUAUCUGACCCUAACCCUAACCCACCAGGAUACAGGUCAACAUAUCUGACCCUAACCCACCAGGAUACAGGUCAACAUAUCUGACCCCAACCCACCAGGAUACAGGUCAACAUAUCUGACCCCAAUCCACCAGGAUACAGGUCAACAUAUCUGACCCCAACCCACCAGGAUACAGGUCAACAUAUCUGACCCCAACCCACCAGGAUACAGGUCAACAUAUCUGACCCUAACCCACCAGGAUACAGGUCAACAUAUCUGACCCCAACCCACCAGGAUACAGGUCAACAUAUCUGACCCUAACCCACCAGGAUACAGGUCAACAUAUCUGACCCUAACCCACCAGGAUACAGGUCAACAUAUCUGACAUUAUCAAAGUGUUCCAGAGGAAACAUUUCCCUUUGUCACUUGAUACAAACCAUACUAGUCCUCCCACAGAGACAGACAAAAACAGACAGACAGACCUGUGAUCUAAACGUCUCUAUCUUGAAAAUUUGAAAAUAGCUUUCAAUUGUAAAAUGUCAUCGGGAGACAAUCGUUAGAAGGACUUCCUGAAACGGUGUCGGUACACUUUAAUUGAGUUUAGCCUCUCAUCUUCUCACAGGUCCCUUUGAGGUGAAAAGGAAAUGGGUUUACAUUUUCUAAAGGAAUCCAGUUUUGUAAGCAUCCACUAACCUACACCAAAUACAUGUACGAGCUUCGGCAACAGUCUUUAGGUUAACUUCCUAAAAGAAAUUGGGCCAUUACAUAUAAGAUACCUGUCUAACACGCCUCUCAAAGUGGACAUUUCACAGUGAAUUAAAAAUCAGUUUGUAUCAUAAUUAAUUAUAUAUGCUACAUGAAGCUAGUGAUGAGGACAUGUAGUGAUGUAAGUAAAGUAUCUGCAUAUAAUGUGUUAGUGUUAUUUAUGGUUUGACCUUUUAUGGUAUGUUUUAUUUAACCCCUUGGUUUGUGUAAUAUACUGUAUUAUUUUCUGAGAUGACACAUUAUUAUGAAAUAUCUGCCUUUUACAGACUAUACAUGGCUUUUUAAGACAUAUAUGUCAGAAAUUUAACUUAUUUACAUUACCAACAUACAUUGUGUGUAUAUAAAUAAAAUGUAAAAAGUA
Molecule: long non-coding RNA, 3697 nt
Organism: Oncorhynchus nerka (sockeye salmon)
Lineage: Eukaryota; Metazoa; Chordata; Actinopteri; Salmoniformes; Salmonidae
Exons: 2
Source: RefSeq, a predicted model, not a curated record